ACUUGAUGACCCUGGAUGCAAAGAGUUAACAGAGAUAUGGCAUGAACAUGUAUUAGAAAAAUGAUUCACACACAAUAGAAAAAAUAAUUAAGACCAGGAUUGGGUGGCUUUGGAGAAUGUAAUUUCAGCUUGAAUAUGAAGAUGCUUGUAGAACAGUGUUCCUUCCUCUGAACAUGGCUACAGAAGAACAAAUCAGUUAGUCUGAAGAUGAAAACAAGAAGCUGCUGGUAGACACAUUCUGAACUGGCUAACACAACACUCUGAAACUGGAGGAUAUCAACUGAUAAGAUAUGAAGUUCUCCCUCAGUUUCAAAUACACUGGGUUCAUAAAUUAUUGACAUAAACAAUAGAUGUCCCAUCAAGCUACCAUGAAGAUAGCUAGGUCUGCACAACUCCUCAAGUGUCGACCCCUCCAAGCACAUCCUCCACCUGGAAUUGUGAA
RNAcentral lists this long non-coding RNA (442 nucleotides) under Pan troglodytes (chimpanzee). Its description in RNAcentral is "lincRNA". Lineage: Eukaryota; Metazoa; Chordata; Mammalia; Primates; Hominidae. The record is from RNAcentral.